Molecule: unclassified non-coding RNA, 507 nt
Filed under: Hevea brasiliensis (rubber tree)
Lineage: Eukaryota; Viridiplantae; Streptophyta; Magnoliopsida; Malpighiales; Euphorbiaceae
Source: RNAcentral
CUUGAUGAGGCUACAAGUGCACUGGAUGCUGAAUCCGAAUGUGUGUUACAAGAAGCACUCGAAAGGUUGAUGAGAGGUCGAACCACCGUUUUGGUGGCUCACCGAUUAUCAACAAUUCGAAAUGUGGAUACUAUUGGUGUUGUGCAAGACGGAAGAAUCGUUGAACAAGGAAGCCAUUCUGAGUUAAUCAGCAGGCCAGAAGGUGCAUAUUCUAGACUAUUGCAACUACAACACCACCGCAUAUGAUGAAAAUUACAAGAAUCUCUUAUUCCUUUUCUUUUUUUAACUUUUCAACUUUUAAUUUUUAUGGAAGCAAUCAACAUGGCCUAGUGUUUUUGGCCUCUGGGAUGGUUUGUGGGGGGAGUAACAAUGUUUGGGUCCUAGUGACUGUUGCUUUCAUAUGCUUUAUUGAUUAUGAUGAUGUGAUGAUGCUGAUAGUUGUAGAUAUGGGAUUGUCACGAUCAAAUAUUAUAUCAUUGGGAAAGUUUACAACUCUAUUCCCUAUGG